Molecule: long non-coding RNA, 2815 nt
Filed under: Rattus norvegicus (Norway rat)
Lineage: Eukaryota; Metazoa; Chordata; Mammalia; Rodentia; Muridae
Description: long non-coding RNA NONRATT031853
Source: RNAcentral
AUGGCAGUCGAUCCCUGGGACCCAACUCUCCAUUGUCCAUGCACUCAGCACCACCAUGAGGAUCCCCUCCAUCAUCUCUUCUGUAGUCUUCACAACUGGUCUGGAGGACACAGGAGAUCAGAUGAAUCAUUCACUGCUGAAUCUGGUAGCCAUAGAUGGGAUGGUCAUGGCCAAAGUUGUGGUCACCUUCCCCAUCUGUGGAUGGAUGAUCUUUCUGUUGUGGAAGCAAAGGCCAGCAGAGGAAAGACUAAACCCCAGACAGGUGCGCUCCCACCAUCCCAAGGGGCAGCUGAGGAUCUGUUGGGAAGUUUAUUCCUAAAGGCAUGCAAGCGGGACAGAGAGAUGAUUCAGCCAGAAAUGCAAGGGACAUGGGUAGAAGGACCUGACUUUGAACCCCAGCUUACACAUUAUAACCCCGGGGAUGUGCCAGAAAUUUGUAAUCGCAGCUCUGGACAAGCAAGAGACAGGCAGAGUCAUGGGUUUGCAGUCCACUAUUCUAGCCUAAUUGAUUAGUUCCAGGGCUAAUGAAAGAUCCCUUUUAAGAAAGGGAAAUUUCUCAAGGUCAUAAAUUACAGUCAUUCACUAAAUUUAUUUGAAGUAAAGUAUUUUGAAUUCCAUAUUAAUGGAAAAGCAAUAGUAUAUGUCAGUUGGAAAUGUAGUCAGCUGCCUAACACAGUGUCCUGGAUGCGAUUCCAGGGAACCCAAAUUGUACACAGAGAAAACUGACUUUGGACAAUUUUCCUCUGCCUCUCAGGGUUGCUCACAUGCUCCUGGUGAGACAUUGUCUAUUUGUCCCCAGCUAACAGACCUCCAGGUGCCAGUUUCUCUCACCAGGGAGGAGAAUUUUCAUCAAAGUAGUAAUUGGUGAACCCACAUCAGCAUCUUACACCUUCAAAUUCUUGAUCUUGGGAAUUAGAACAUGCAGGGCUCUAGGACUGUUCUUCCAAACAUUCUUGGGCAGGCAUCGCAAGAUAACCCCACUUCUGCCAUAUGGGUUCUGAUGUCCUGUCCUCAGAACUCAGAUCAUCCAGUCUGUCUUUGGUCCUGAGAGUUCAACUGUGCUGUUCUUUCUUUGCUCCUGGAGUUAAUGAUACUUUUUAGUAGAUGAGAGAUCAGAAAGUAAAGCAAACCAAGGAGCUAGUUCAGAGUAAGGCUGAGGUGUAGAUGUGUCCAAACCCUGAAAAUCUUAUCUUGACACCAGCUGAGUUAGGACAGGUCUGAGCGUUCAGGAGCAAGAAGCCUAUACCACCACCACCUCCUACACUCUUUUAGUAGGCACAGAGAAAGAUGGCUGAAUUACAGUUCUAACUUUCUCUUGGGCUCUAAGGACAGGUCCAGCAAACACAUGGAAUUUCUCUUCAUGCAAAUGAAGGUGUCCCAGAACCUAUCACACAGAAAGUUUAAUAUAACCCUUGUUACCCCAUUUUUGAGUUUGCUGCUUGGGCCUUGGAACCAUAUUUGACCUCUAGUGUCCAUAUAAAGAGGCCAGCAAAACCUUUAAUCUUAGCAAAAGAGAUAGAGGCAGGCAGAGCUCUGUGUGUGGACAGUUAGCCUGGUCUAUGUGUCUAGUUCCACACCAAACAGAGCUGUGUGAGCUGUAAUCCUAGGACUGAGGAAGUGCAGACAGGCUUGUCUGUACAGCUCACUGGGCAGUCAAUCUAGUCUCCAUGGGAAAAUUGAAGUUAGUGAGAGAGCCUGAUUCAAAAAAUGAGAAGGAUGAGACCUUAGGCUCUCCUCUAGCCUCAACAUGCAUAAACCAAUGCAUGCACACAAAGACAGAUAUAGAGAGACACAGGAACAUAGAUACACAAACAGGGAUACACACACACACACACACACACACACACACACACACACACACGUACAUAUACCCACAGAGACAUACAGACAAAGAUUCUUACACAAAGAUGCACACUCUUACAUGCAUACACAUCAACACAGAGACACACAUCUGAUGUAACAGAUCCACAUAUUCACACACACUGGAUAUACCAGAAUGUGUAAAAGAAGAACUAUGAAAUAGCCAUAUGGGUAAAGCUCAGUCAAGAGCAGAAUACAAUCCUUUGCUUCAUGCACAUCACACCACUUCUGCUCACAUUCCUGGCUGAAGAGGAACCCUCCUGUAGGCCUCAGAAUACUGGAACUGAGGAGCAAUCUGGCACAGAUUCCUUCCAGUUUCUGCCUUCACCCUGAGCUGACCCUGUACCACCGCUCUCUGUACCCGAAUACCCCUGGGAGAGAGCUGGUUUCCCAGUAGUGCUCACACUCAGACUUACAGGAGAGUCAAGCUACUGUCAGAGAGAGAAAGACCAGCUCAAACCAGAGAUAAGCAGAUGGCGAGAGGGAAGGGCAAGAACCUUCACAGCGUAAACCAAGGUCAUUUGGCAUCAUCAGUACCCAGUUCCCCACCACAGCAAGCCAUGGAUAACCCAACACUGGAAAAGGAUUAUCUUGACUUAAAAUCACAAGUCAUGAUGACAUUAAAGGCCUUUAAGAAGGACAUAAAUAAGUAACUCCCUUAAGGAAAUACAGGACAAUACAGGCAAACAGGUAGAAACCCUUAAAGAGGAAGCACAAAAAUGAACCAAGCAGGUGAAGGAAUUGAUCAAAUCCAUCCAGGAUCUAAAAAUGGAAAUAGAAACAAUGAGGAAAUCACCAAGGGAAAGAACCCUGAGAAAGAAAAUCUAGGACUGAAAUCAGGAGUCAUAGACACAAGGAUUACCAACAGAAUACAGAAGAUGGAAGAGAGAAUCUCAGGGGGAGAAGAUACCAGAGAAAACAUUGACAUAACCGUUAAGGAAAAUGCAAAACCAAG